Non-coding RNA from Oryctolagus cuniculus (rabbit), 5109 nucleotides. The record is from RefSeq and is a predicted model, not a curated record. Lineage: Eukaryota; Metazoa; Chordata; Mammalia; Lagomorpha; Leporidae.
CCCGGAGUUGCUGCAGUGCCUGUCUGCCCGCGCCCCUCAGCCUGCCGCCGGGCGCGCGCCCCGGGGCCGCGCCUCCGCGGUUCUAGAAGGGGCAGGAAUCUCAUCCCCAGGCCAGCAGAGGGGAGGCGGGAAUGCGCGGGUGCCGCCUCAGAGCCGCCGGAGCUUGGCCUCCGUCCGGAAAAAAGCAAGCGCGGGAAAAAGUGGGGCAAAAGCAGGCGGGGAGGCGGUCUUGGAAGCCGCCCAAGAUAGGAACCUUGAAUGAAUGAAGCGAGGAAGCCAAGAAACAGACUUGUCGCACCCCACGCGGUCGCCCCCACAAAGUGAAACGCGCGUUGAGAGCGUGGAGAAUGAGGAGUUGUACUCCAGAGUCUUCGGGAAAACUUAUCCACGAUUUGUCUGGCGCUGAGUUGCCUUGAAAGUAGAACAGAAAUUAAAACGUCAUCUUUCUACACCUGAUGACCCCCUCCCACCUUGCAGAUUUCUGCCACAGGCGCCAUCUUUGGUUCUGAGUCACCAGGGAUGGAAAAACACCAGACGCCUUACUCGUCCACGCUUAGUGAGAGGCCGUUUUCUGCAGUUGGCAGCCACGCACCAGAAACCUGUUGCCUCAUUUGUAGGGCCAGAGAGUUUGUGUGUUUCUCUGGUUGCCAGCUUCUCCAUUCUCACUGGCAUCACCGCAUCUUAUAAAUGAUGGCAAGUGUUUCUCCAGAACCUCUGAGGAGGCGAUGAGAAAGAAAUAUUACCAAACUGUGCUACUUUUCCCUCCAAAACUGGCUGGAAGAAUUUUGUGUAUCCCGUAAGAAAAGAAUUUCAGGUCUUCUUGCUAUAUUCUGCCUCUCUUCUUUACCUCGUGAUAGUGAAGAGUCUCUAAGGAACCUGUUGGAGAGGCAUCCCUUGAAACUGAAGGAAUUAAUCAAGAAAGAGGAUCCAGGAAACAGGAGACUUAUCACAGAAAAGCAACAAAGAGAAUCACCUGUUUGAUGGCAAGUUAUGAAUGAAUGAAAAGUACCUAAUAUUCACCAACCUUGCCAGCAUUUGUUGUUGUCAGUGUUUUGGAUUUUGGCCAUUCUAAUAGGUCUCAUGGUAAGAAAAAAGCUGAGGAUGAGGAAACAGAAGAGGGAGGAAAACACUGUAUGGUUUUGGCCUAAUUGUCUGUCUACAUACAGCACUGGUAGAGAUAUCUGAAAACUGUUUCCAAAUUUCUUACCAAAUGAGUAGAGCUUCAGAACCAUGAGAAUGCUCCAUCUCUCCGUCUCAAGCAUGGGUAACUGGAGGAUAACACCCGAAAGUACCCCAAGAAAACCAAAAGAAGAACCAAGACGAGAACACAAGACAAAGAUCCCAGUUGAUAGUGAAGGGGCAGUAAUGUGGUUUGAACACUGGGAAGUUACAAUUUUCAUCCUAUAUGGGAUCAGAAGUUAGUUGAUGACGUUGGAAGUUACUUCGUGGUGUUUGCUUUUCUUCCUUAGUAAGAUAAGGGUUUGGCAAUAAGUAGUUUAAGGUUCUUGUAAGCUUUCAAAUUCUGUGAUCCUGUUUGUUCUCUCAAUUUAGUGGAAGGGAUACAGGAAUUAUCAAAAGUAAAAUGUGGCUUUUUUACAAAGCUUGUGUUCUUCUUUGUUAAAACAUGCCCUCUUUUGCUUCCUUUAUCUGUCAAAAUAAUUUCUAGUUUUAGUAAAAUAAAAUUUUAAUUUCCAUAUUUUAAGAAAUUCUUAGUUUUAGAAUCCCAAAUCAGAAAUUUCUUUAGUUUGAUUUUUCUUUUAUUAUUUCAUAUUUUAUCGUAUUAUGUGAUGCAAGUAUUCUAUAUUGAUUCUCUUUAAAAUUAAUAUGUGUGAUUGUUUAGUAUAUUCAGCAUAUUAAUUGCAAAGAAUGAGCUGUCAUUUAUUUUGAGCAAUAAAAUAAAUACCUUAACUUUGGCGAAAUAGUUUUUCUGAAUCAAUCUACAAUAGGGCAUUUGUAAACCUUGUAGCUUUGGGAAAAGACACAGUUGUGACCACAGUGUCUUUUUCCUGAGCUGCAAAUACUGUGUUGAAUGUUUUGUUAAAAUUUCUUAUGUCCUCCUCUUCAAUUGAUACCACCCACAUUUCAAUAUAUAUUUUUUUGACAGGCAGAGUUACACAGUGAGAGAGACAGAGAGAAAGGUCUUCCUUUGCCGUUGGUUCACCCUCCAGUGGCCACUGCGGCCGGCGUGCUGUGGCCGGCACACCGCGCUGAUCCGAAGCCGGGAGCCAGGUGCUUCUCCUGGUCUCCCAUGGGGUGCAGGGCCCAAGCACUUGGGCCAUCCUCCACUGCACUCCCUGGCCACAGCAGAGAGCUGGCCUGGAAGAGGAGCAACCGGGACAGAAUCCGGUGCCCCGACCGGGACUAGAACCUGGUGUGCCGGCGCCACAAGGUGGAGGAUUAGCCUAGUGAGCCACGGCGCCGGCCCUCGAUAUUAUUUUCUACUCUUACAUUCAAAAUUUUUUUAGUAUAGAAACAGAGUAGACUGAGAAAGAAGUGUCUCUUUUUUGUUUUUAAGGAUUUAUUUAUUUUACUUGAAAGUCAUAGUAACACAGAGAGAGGAGAGGCAGAGAGAGAGAGAGAGAAGUCUCAUCUGCUAGCUCACGCCCCAGAUGGCCACAAUGGCCAGAGCUGCGCCGAUCCGAAGCCAGGAGCCAGGAGCUUCUUUCGGGUCUCCCACAUGGGUGCAGGGUCCCAAGGACUUGGGCCAUCUUCUACUGCUUUUCCAGGCCAUAGCAGAGAGUUGGAUCGGAAGUGGAGCAGACGGUCUCAAACCGGCACCCAUAUGGGAUGCCAGCAUUGUAGGCAGUGCCUUUACCCACUAUACCAUAACACCAGCCCCGAAAGAAAUGCUUUUUUUUUUUUUUUUUUUUUGACAGGCAGAGUGGUCAGUGAGAGAGAGAGACAGAGAGAAAGGUCUUCCUUUUUCCAUUGGUUCACCCCCCAAUGGCCGCUGCGGCCAGCGCACUGUGGCCAGCGCACCACGCCGAUCUGAAGCCGGGAGCCAGAUGCUUCUCCUGGUCUCCCAUGCGGGUGCCGGGCCCAAGCACUUGGGCCAUCCUCCACUGCCUUCCCGGGCCACAGCAGAGAGCUGGACUGGAAGAGGAGCAACCGGGACAGAAUCCGGCGCCCCAACCAGGACUAGAACCCGGUGUGCCAGUGCCGCAGGCGGAGGAUUAGCCUAUUGAGCUGUGGCGCUGGCCUCCAGAAAUGCCUCUUUAAACAUAUGUUAUUUUGUGGCAAAUCUCAUGUAAUUAUGAGUCAAUUCAUCUUCCACAACAAAAUGGAGCCACCUUUAAAAUAUAGUCAUGUGACACAACGCAACAUUUCAGUUCAUGAAAGACUGCUUGUAUGAUGGAGGAUACACAAGAUUAUAUCACCUGGCAACAUCAUAAUAAUUUUAGUUGUGUAAGGACACUUUGAUGUUCACACAAGGACAGAAUCUUCUAAUGGUGCAUUUCUCAGGACAUAUCCCUAUUGUUAAAUGAUUUUAUGCAUAAUUGGUUUAUUUUAUUAUGGCUUUUAAUCAAAAAUCAAGUAGUAGCUCUUUUUUCUAUCAUGCCUGUGUUAAUCAGAGUUAUCUGGAGAAAAAGCCAAUAGGAUAUGUGUGGGGAGAUUUGCUUUAUGGAAUUGGUUCAUGCAGUCAUGAGGACUGGCAAGUCCAAAACCUGCAGAACAGACCACAGGUUGGAGACCCAGGGAAAGGAUAAUGUUGAGGCUUCAUUUUGAGGACAGAAUUUUCUUCUCUUUAGGGAAAUUCAGUCUUUUUAGAAGUCUUCAACUAAUUGGAUGAGGCCCACUCACCGUUUAGAAGGUGACCUGUGUUACUGAGUUCUGCCAAUUUGAAUUUUACUCUUAUCUAAAAAAAUCUUCACAGUAACAGCUAGACUUGUGUUUGACCAAAUAUCUGGGUGCACAUAAAAUUAAUCACCACUGCAUUUUUAUCAUGAAAGGAUGUUCUAUUUUAUCAAAGGCUUUUUCUGUGUCUAUUGAGAUGAUCAUGUGUUUUUUAUCCUAAAUUUGUUGAUGUGAUAUAUCAUAUUUAUUGAUUUGUAUAUUUUGAGCCAUCCCUGGUUAUUGUUCUAUUCAGGUUUUCUUUGUCUUUAUGCCUGAUUUUUGGUAAAUUACAUGUGUCUGGAAACCUGCAUAUUUGUUCUAGAUUCUCCAAUUUGUUGGUAUAUAGUUAUUUAUAGUAGCUCCUAAUGAUUCUUUGUAUUUCUGUUGUAUCAGUUGUAAUAUCUUCUUUCUCAUCACUUAUUUUAUUGGUUUGAGUCUUCUCCCCUUUUUUCUUGGUUAGUUGGGCCAAUAGUUGAUCAAUAUUUUUCAAAAAAAAUCAUUUCUUCAUUUCAUUAAUCUUUUGAAUAAUGCCUUUUUAUUUUUACUUUUAUUUAUUUCUUCUAUAGUUUAUAUAUAUCUUCCUACUAAUUCUGGGUUUGGUUUGUUCUUGCUUUCUAGGCCCUUGAGAUGCACUAUUAGAUUACGUAUUUGAAAUCUUUCUAUUUUUUGACAUAGGGACUUGAUUGCUAUAAACGUUCUUCUUAACACUGCUUUUUCUGUAUCCCAUACCUUUUGAUAUAUGUCUUUAUUUUCAUUAAUUUCAAGGUUUUUUUUACUUCCUUUUUGAACCACUGUUUAUUCAGGAACAUGUUUAGACUUGUUCUAUGGCCUUACUAGGGCCAUGUGGACUAUCCUAGAAAAUGUUCUAGCACUGAUGAAAAGAAUGUAAAUUCCGGAGUCAUGGGAUGGAAUAUUCUGUAGAUAUCUAUGAGGUUCAGUUGGUCUAUGGUGUAGAUUAGCUCUGUUCUUUGUUGAUUUUUUGUUUAAGCAAAAUGUAGUUGGCUCUUGUUUUUUAUUCAUUUAUCCAAUAUAUACUGGGGAAUUUAGCCCAUUUACAUUCAAGGUUAUUAUUAUUAUUGAAAAUAAUGGCUUUGUCCUGCCAUUUCUCCAUAAAGAUUCCCACUGUUGUUUGUUUAUUUGUUUUGCCAGGCAGAGUUAGACAGUGAGAGAGAGAGACAGAGAGAGAGUUAUAGACAGUGAGAGAUAGACAGAGAAAAAGGCCUUCCUUCUGUUGGUUCACUCCCCUAAUGGCCACUACGCCAAUCCAAAGCCAGG